RNAcentral lists this non-coding RNA (89 nucleotides) under Pseudomonas sp. LAMO17WK12:I9. The record is from RNAcentral. Lineage: Bacteria; Pseudomonadati; Pseudomonadota; Gammaproteobacteria; Pseudomonadales; Pseudomonadaceae. RNAcentral also lists the same sequence under 3 other names.
CUUUAUGGCGGCCAUGCGCGGGAGAUCCUCGGAUCUGCUGAGUGGCCUGGUAGCUCGGUCUUGCACACCCGCGUAUGGCUGCCACCCUU